UACGAAGGGGGCUAGCGUUGUUCGGAAUUACUGGGCGUAAAGCGAACGUAGGCGGUGUUCCAUGUCAGAGGUGAAAGCCUGGGGCUCAACUCCAGAAUUGCCUUUGAAACGGGAACGCUUGAGUCCGAGAGAGGAUGGUGGAAUUCCUAGUGUAGAGGUGAAAUUCGUAGAUAUUAGGAAGAACACCAGUGGCGAAGGCGGCCAUCUGGCUCGGUACUGACGCUCAGGUUCGAAAGCGUGGGGAGCAAACAGG
This 253-nucleotide ribosomal RNA is filed under the name uncultured bacterium. Its description in RNAcentral is "partial 16S ribosomal RNA". It matches the Rfam family "Bacterial small subunit ribosomal RNA", at positions 524 to 776 of the family's 1533-position model. The record is from RNAcentral.